RNAcentral lists this ribosomal RNA (346 nucleotides) under uncultured bacterium. RNAcentral's name for it is "partial 16S ribosomal RNA". It matches the Rfam family "Bacterial small subunit ribosomal RNA", at positions 338 to 681 of the family's 1533-position model. The record is from RNAcentral.
CCUACGGGGGGCAGCAGUGAGGAAUAUUGGUCAAUGGGCGCGAGCCUGAACCAGCCAAGUAGCGUGAAGGAUGACUGCCCUACGGGUUGUAAACUUCUGUUAUAAAGGAAUAAAGUGAGGCACGUGUGCCAUGUUGUAUGGACUUUAUGAAUAAGGAUCGGCUAACUCCGUGCCAGCAGCCGCGGUAAUACGGAGGAUCCGAGCGUUAUCCGGAUUUAUUGGGUUGAAAGGGAGCGUAGAUGGGUUGUUAAGUCAGUUUUGACAGUUUGCGGCUCAACCGUAAAAUUGCAAUUGAUACUGGCAGCCUUGCUUACAGUUGUGGUAGGCGGCAUUCGUGGUGUCGCGG